RNAcentral lists this ribosomal RNA (1197 nucleotides) under Staphylococcus aureus. Its description in RNAcentral is "bacterial SSU rRNA". It matches the Rfam family "Bacterial small subunit ribosomal RNA", at positions 47 to 1225 of the family's 1533-position model. The record is from RNAcentral. Lineage: Bacteria; Bacillati; Bacillota; Bacilli; Caryophanales; Staphylococcaceae.
CCUAAUACAUGCAAGUCGAGCGAACGGACGAGAAGCUUGCUUCUCUGAUGUUAGCGGCGGACGGGUGAGUAACACGUGGAUAACCUACCUAUAAGACUGGGAUAACUUCGGGAAACCGGAGCUAAUACCGGAUAAUAUUUUGAACCGCAUGGUUCAAAAGUGAAAGACGGUCUUGCUGUCACUUAUAGAUGGAUCCGCGCUGCAUUAGCUAGUUGGUAAGGUAACGGCUUACCAAGGCAACGAUGCAUAGCCGACCUGAGAGGGUGAUCGGCCACACUGGAACUGAGACACGGUCCAGACUCCUACGGGAGGCAGCAGUAGGGAAUCUUCCGCAAUGGGCGAAAGCCUGACGGAGCAACGCCGCGUGAGUGAUGAAGGUCUUCGGAUCGUAAAACUCUGUUAUUAGGGAAGAACAUAUGUGUAAGUAACUGUGCACAUCUUGACGGUACCUAAUCAGAAAGCCACGGCUAACUACGUGCCAGCAGCCGCGGUAAUACGUAGGUGGCAAGCGUUAUCCGGAAUUAUUGGGCGUAAAGCGCGCGUAGGCGGUUUUUUAAGUCUGAUGUGAAAGCCCACGGCUCAACCGUGGAGGGUCAUUGGAAACUGGAAAACUUGAGUGCAGAAGAGGAAAGUGGAAUUCCAUGUGUAGCGGUGAAAUGCGCAGAGAUAUGGAGGAACACCAGUGGCGAAGGCGACUUUCUGGUCUGUAACUGACGCUGAUGUGCGAAAGCGUGGGGAUCAAACAGGAUUAGAUACCCUGGUAGUCCACGCCGUAAACGAUGAGUGCUAAGUGUUAGGGGGUUUCCGCCCCUUAGUGCUGCAGCUAACGCAUUAAGCACUCCGCCUGGGGAGUACGACCGCAAGGUUGAAACUCAAAGGAAUUGACGGGGACCCGCACAAGCGGUGGAGCAUGUGGUUUAAUUCGAAGCAACGCGAAGAACCUUACCAAAUCUUGACAUCCUUUGACAACUCUAGAGAUAGAGCCUUCCCCUUCGGGGGACAAAGUGACAGGUGGUGCAUGGUUGUCGUCAGCUCGUGUCGUGAGAUGUUGGGUUAAGUCCCGCAACGAGCGCAACCCUUAAGCUUAGUUGCCAUCAUUAAGUUGGGCACUCUAAGUUGACUGCCGGUGACAAACCGGAGGAAGGUGGGGAUGACGUCAAAUCAUCAUGCCCCUUAUGAUUUGGGCUACACACGUGC